UCAGGAUGAACGCUAGCGGGAGGCCUAACACAUGCAAGCCGAGCGGUAGAGAUUCUUCGGAAUCUUGAGAGCGGCGUACGGGUGCGGAACACGUGUGCAACCUGCCUUUAUCAAGGGGAUAGCCUUUCGAAAGGAAGAUUAAUACCCUAUAAUAUAUGAUUCGGCAUCGGAUUAUAUUGAAAACUACGGUGGAUAAAGAUGGGCACGCGCAAGAUUAGCUAGUUGGUGAGGUAACGGCUCACCAAGGCGACGAUCUUUAGGGGGCCUGAGAGGGUGAUCCCCCACACUGGUACUGAGACACGGACCAGACUCCUACGGGAGGCAGCAGUGAGGAAUAUUGGACAAUGGGUGAAAGCCUGAUCCAGCCAUCCCGCGUGUAGGAAGACGGCCCUAUGGGUUGUAAACUACUUUUAUCUGGGGAUAAACCUACUUACGUGUAAGUAGCUGAAGGUACCAGAUGAAUAAGCACCGGCUAACUCCGUGCCAGCAGCCGCGGUAAUACGGAGGGUGCAAGCGUUAUCCGGAUUUAUUGGGUUUAAAGGGUCCGUAGGCGGACUGAUAAGUCAGUGGUGAAAUCCGACAGCUUAACUGUCGAACUGCCAUUGAUACUGUUAGUCUUGAGUAAGGUUGAAGUGGCUGGAAUAAGUAGUGUAGCGGUGAAAUGCAUAGAUAUUACUUAGAACACCAAUUGCGAAGGCAGGUCACUAAGUCUUAACUGAC
Molecule: ribosomal RNA, 720 nt
Filed under: Elizabethkingia miricola
Lineage: Bacteria; Pseudomonadati; Bacteroidota; Flavobacteriia; Flavobacteriales; Weeksellaceae
Description: bacterial SSU rRNA
Rfam family: Bacterial small subunit ribosomal RNA
Source: RNAcentral